This is a small nucleolar RNA of Ceratocystis platani, 93 nucleotides long. It matches the Rfam family "A. fumigatus snoRNA Afu_190". NCBI's taxonomy places the organism in Eukaryota, Fungi, Ascomycota, Sordariomycetes, Microascales, Ceratocystidaceae. The record is from Rfam.
UUAUGAUGAACCACCAGCUGGCACCAGUCAUAGAGUGAUUUGUACUCCCUUCAUUGAUGACUACCAUUGCUGCGGUCUAGUACCGAUUCUGAA